AACCAUAGAAACCUGCGGAGUACCUGCGGAGGGAUCAUCAUCGAAUUCAUAUCCCCCUCCUCAACCGGAGGGGGACCCAUGAUAAACCCUUCUGUGCACCGUAAACCGUUCACUUUGGCAGGCUUUGGUGGUGAGCGUGAGCUCGCCCCCAACCUCGCGUUCACUCCCUAAGGGGUGUUACGUGUGGCGGCCUGCCGGAGUCCCAUUAAAAAACUCGUUUUCGAACACGUCUGAAAAUUU
This 240-nucleotide unclassified non-coding RNA is filed under the name soil metagenome. RNAcentral's name for it is "partial contains 5.8S ribosomal RNA, internal transcribed spacer 2, and large subunit ribosomal RNA". The record is from RNAcentral.